ACCCGAAACCCGGUGAUCUAGCCAUGGGCAGGUUGAAGGUUGGGUAACACUAACUGGAGGACCGAACCGACUAAUGUUGAAAAAUUAGCGGAUGACCUGUGGCUGGGGGUGAAAGGCCAAUCAAACCGGGAGAUAGCUGGUUCUCCCCGAAAGCUAUUUAGGUAGCGCCUCGUGAAUUCAUCUCCGGGGGUAGAGCACUGUUUCGGCUAGGGGGCCAUCCCGGCUUACCAACCCGAUGCAAACUGCGAAUACCGGAGAAUGUUAUCACGGGAGACACACGGCGGGUGCUAACGUCCGUCGUGAAGAGGGAAACAACCCAGACCGCCAGCUAAGGUCCCAAAGUCAUGGUUAAG
This 353-nucleotide ribosomal RNA is filed under the name Salmonella enterica subsp. enterica serovar Typhimurium var. 5- str. CFSAN004345. RNAcentral's name for it is "bacterial LSU rRNA". It matches the Rfam family "Bacterial large subunit ribosomal RNA", at positions 713 to 1063 of the family's 2925-position model. Lineage: Bacteria; Pseudomonadati; Pseudomonadota; Gammaproteobacteria; Enterobacterales; Enterobacteriaceae. The record is from RNAcentral.